GGCUUCGACGAGACUCUGGGUCACCUCCCACCCGUGUUUAUUUUACCUUGUUGCUUCGGCGGGCCCGCCUUAACUGGCCGCCGGGGGGCUUACGCCCCCGGGCCCGCGCCCGCCGAAGACACCCUCGAACUCUGUCUGAAGAUUGUAGUCUGAGUGAAAAUAUAAAUUAUUUAAAACUUUCAACAACGGAUCUCUUGGUUCCGGCAUCGAUGAAGAACGCAGCGAAAUGCGAUACGUAAUGUGAAUUGCAAAUUCAGUGAAUCAUCGAGUCUUUGAACGCACAUUGCGCCCCCUGGUAUUCCGGGGGGCAUGCCUGUCCGAGCGUCAUUGCUGCCCUCAAGCACGGCUUGUGUGUUGGGCCCCGUCCUCCGAUCCCGGGGGACGGGCCCGAAAGGCAGCGGCGGCACCGCGUCCGGUCCUCGAGCGUAUGGGGCUUUGUCACCCGCUCUGUAGGCCCGGCCGGCGCUUGCCGAUCAACCCAAAUUUUUAUCCAGGUUGACCUCGGAUCAGGUAGGGAUACCCGCUGAACUUAAGCAUAUCAAUAAGCAGGAGGAA
Molecule: ribosomal RNA, 555 nt
Filed under: Penicillium chrysogenum
Lineage: Eukaryota; Fungi; Ascomycota; Eurotiomycetes; Eurotiales; Aspergillaceae
Description: eukaryotic LSU rRNA
Rfam family: 5.8S ribosomal RNA (bases 175-327)
Source: RNAcentral